This 253-nucleotide ribosomal RNA is filed under the name uncultured bacterium. Its description in RNAcentral is "partial 16S ribosomal RNA". It matches the Rfam family "Bacterial small subunit ribosomal RNA", at positions 524 to 776 of the family's 1533-position model. The record is from RNAcentral.
UACGGAGGGUGCAAGCGUUAUCCGGAUUCACUGGGUUUAAAGGGUGCGUAGGUGGGUUGGUAAGUCAGUGGUGAAAUCUCCGAGCUUAACUUGGAAACUGCCAUUGAUACGAUCAGUCUUGAAUAUUGUGGAGGUCAGCGGAAUAUGUCAUGUAGCGGUGAAAUGCUUAGAUAUGACAUAGAACACCAAUUGCGAAGGCAGCUGGCUACACAUAUAUUGACACUGAGGCACGAAAGCGUGGGGAGCAAACAGG